UGCUGGGGGAUUAGUGGCGAACGGGUGAGUAACACGUGAGUAACCUGCCCUUGACUCUGGGAUAAGCCUGGGAAACUGGGUCUAAUACCGGAUAUGACUCCUCAUCGCAUGGUGGGGGGUGGAAAGCUUUUGUGGUUUUGGAUGGACUCGCGGCCUAUCAGCUUGUUGGUGGGGUAAUGGCCUACCAAGGCGACGACGGGUAGCCGGCCUGAGAGGGUGACCGGCCACACUGGGACUGAGACACGGCCCAGACUCCUACGGGAGGCAGCAGUGGGGAAUAUUGCACAAUGGGCGCAAGCCUGAUGCAGCGACGCCGCGUGAGGGAUGACGGCCUUCGGGUUGUAAACCUCUUUCAGUAGGGAAGAAGCGUAAGUGACGGUACCUGCAGAAGAAGCGCCGGCUAACUACGUGCCAGCAGCCGCGGUAAUACGUAGGGCGCAAGCGUUAUCCGGAAUUAUUGGGCGUAAAGAGCUCGUAGGCGGUUUGUCGCGUCUGCUGUGAAAGACCGGGGCUCAACUCCGGUUCUGCAGUGGGUACGGGCAGACUAGAGUGCAGUAGGGGAGACUGGAAUUCCUGGUGUAGCGGUGAAAUGCGCAGAUAUCAGGAGGAACACCGAUGGCGAAGGCAGGUCUCUGGGCUGUAACUGACGCUGAGGAGCGAAAGCAUGGGGAGCGAACAGGAUUAGAUACCCUGGUAGUCCAUGCCGUAAACGUUGGGCACUAGGUGUGGGGGACAUUCCACGUUUUCCGCGCCGUAGCUAACGCAUUAAGUGCCCCGCCUGGGGAGUACGGCCGCAAGGCUAAAACUCAAAGGAAUUGACGGGGGCCCGCACAAGCGGCGGAGCAUGCGGAUUAAUUCGAUGCAACGCGAAGAACCUUACCAAGGCUUGACAUGAACCGGUAAUACCUGGAAACAGGUGCCCCGCUUGCGGUCGGUUUACAGGUGGUGCAUGGUUGUCGUCAGCUCGUGUCGUGAGAUGUUGGGUUAAGUCCCGCAACGAGCGCAACCCUCGUUCUAUGUUGCCAGCGGUUCGGCCGGGGACUCAUAGGAGACUGCCGGGGUCAACUCGGAGGAAGGUGGGGACGACGUCAAAUCAUCAUGCCCCUUAUGUCUUGGGCUUCACGCAUGCUACAAUGGCCGGUACAAAGGGUUGCGAUACUGUGAGGUGGAGCUAAUCCCAAAAAGCCGGUCUCAGUUCGGAUUGGGGUCUGCAACUCGACCCCAUGAAGUCGGAGUCGCUAGUAAUCGCAGAUCAGCAACGCUGCGGUGAAUACGUUCCCGGGCCUUGUACACACCGCCCGUCAAGUCACGAAAGUUGGUAACACCCGAAGCC
This 1333-nucleotide ribosomal RNA is filed under the name Arthrobacter sp. RNAcentral's name for it is "bacterial SSU rRNA". It matches the Rfam family "Bacterial small subunit ribosomal RNA", at positions 82 to 1428 of the family's 1533-position model. Lineage: Bacteria; Bacillati; Actinomycetota; Actinomycetes; Micrococcales; Micrococcaceae. The record is from RNAcentral.